Molecule: long non-coding RNA, 210 nt
Filed under: Nicotiana benthamiana
Lineage: Eukaryota; Viridiplantae; Streptophyta; Magnoliopsida; Solanales; Solanaceae
Description: long non-coding RNA (NBEN_LNC039759)
Source: RNAcentral
ACGACCCCAGAAUACCACAGCUUAUACCCGUCUACAUUCCUCGCCUUCAACCCUUUCCACCUAGUCUCCUGGACACAUGCUAUGUUAACCCUCCUCUUCUGAAGAACCUUCGCCAACUCAAUGGAUUUACCUGUCAGAGUGCCUAUGUUCCACGACCCAAUCCUUAAUCUAUGAGCGUCCGCUACCCUCUUCCCACCCUUACCUCCCGCC